UAAUACGAGAGGCCCAAACGUUAUUCGGAAUUACUGGGCUUAAAGAGUUCGUAGGCGGCGCGGAAAGUGGGGUGUGAAAUCCCUCGGCUCAACCGAGGAAUUGCGCUCCAAACUGCCGUGCUUGAGGGACCUAGAGGUGAGCGGAACUGAUGGUGGAGCGGUGAAAUGCGUUGAUAUCAUCAGGAACACCGGAGGCGAAGGCGGCUCACUGGGGGUCUUCUGACGCUGAGGAACGAAAGCCAGGGGAGCGAACGGGAUUAGAUACCCCGGUAGUCCUGGCCGUAAACGAUGAGCACUAGGCCGGAGGGCUGCACAGCCUUUCGGCCGUAGCUAAAGUGUUAAGUGCUCCGCCUGGGGAGUAUGGUCGCAAGGCUG
RNAcentral lists this ribosomal RNA (375 nucleotides) under uncultured bacterium. Its description in RNAcentral is "bacterial SSU rRNA". It matches the Rfam family "Bacterial small subunit ribosomal RNA", at positions 521 to 896 of the family's 1533-position model. The record is from RNAcentral.